This 253-nucleotide unclassified non-coding RNA is filed under the name uncultured Acidobacteriota bacterium. RNAcentral's name for it is "uncultured Acidobacteria bacterium contains 16S-23S intergenic spacer region". It matches the Rfam family "Bacterial small subunit ribosomal RNA", at positions 524 to 776 of the family's 1533-position model. The record is from RNAcentral. Lineage: Bacteria; Pseudomonadati; Acidobacteriota.
UACGGAGGGGGUUAGCGUUGUUCGGAAUUACUGGGCGUAAAGGGCUCGUAGGCGGCCGACUAAGUCGGAUGUGAAAUCCCCAGGCUCAACCUGGGAACUGCAUCCGAUACUGAUCGGCUUGAAUCCGGGAGAGGGAUGCGGAAUUCCAGGUGUAGCGGUGAAAUGCGUAGAUAUCUGGAGGAACACCGGUGGCGAAGGCGGCAUCCUGGACCGGCAUUGACGCUGAGGAGCGAAAGCCAGGGGAGCAAACAGG